UGCAGUCGAGCGGUAGAGAGAAGCUUGCUUCUCUUGAGAGCGGCGGACGGGUGAGUAAUGCCUAGGAAUCUGCCUGGUAGUGGGGGAUAACGUUCGGAAACGGACGCUAAUACCGCAUACGUCCUACGGGAGAAAGCAGGGGACCUUCGGGCCUUGCGCUAUCAGAUGAGCCUAGGUCGGAUUAGCUAGUUGGUGGGGUAAUGGCUCACCAAGGCGACGAUCCGUAACUGGUCUGAGAGGAUGAUCAGUCACACUGGAACUGAGACACGGUCCAGACUCCUACGGGAGGCAGCAGUGGGGAAUAUUGGACAAUGGGCGAAAGCCUGAUCCAGCCAUGCCGCGUGUGUGAAGAAGGUCUUCGGAUUGUAAAGCACUUUAAGUUGGGAGGAAGGGCAGUAAAUUAAUACUUUGCUGUUUUGACGUUACCGACAGAAUAAGCACCGGCUAACUCUGUGCCAGCAGCCGCGGUAAUACAGAGGGUGCAAGCGUUAAUCGGAAUUACUGGGCGUAAAGCGCGCGUAGGUGGUUAGUUAAGUUGGAUGUGAAAUCCCCGGGCUCAACCUGGGAACUGCAUUCAAAACUGUCGAGCUAGAGUAUGGUAGAGGGUGGUGGAAUUUCCUGUGUAGCGGUGAAAUGCGUAGAUAUAGGAAGGAACACCAGUGGCGAAGGCGACCACCUGGACUGAUACUGACACUGAGGUGCGAAAGC
This 708-nucleotide ribosomal RNA is filed under the name uncultured bacterium. RNAcentral describes it as "bacterial SSU rRNA". It matches the Rfam family "Bacterial small subunit ribosomal RNA", at positions 56 to 760 of the family's 1533-position model. The record is from RNAcentral.